GUAGGUGGCAAGCGUCGUCCGGAAUUAUUGGGCGUAAAGCGCGCGCAGGCGGGGGUUUUUAAGUCUGAUGUGAAAGCCCACGGGCUCAACCGUGGAGGGUCAUUGGAAACUGGAGAACUUGAGUACAGAAGAGGAAAGCGGAAUUCCACGUGUAGCGGUGAAAUGCGUAGAGAUGUGGAGGAACACCAGUGGCGAAGGCGGCUUUCUGGUCUGUAACUGACGCUGAGGCGCGAAAGCGUGGGGAGCAAACAGGAUUAGAUACCCUGGUAGUCCACGCCGUAAACGAUGAGUGCUAAGUGUUAGGGGGUUUCCGCCCCUUAGUGCUGCAGCUAACGCAUUAAGCACUCCGCCUGGGGAGUACGGCCGCAAGGCUG
This 374-nucleotide ribosomal RNA is filed under the name uncultured organism. RNAcentral describes it as "partial 16S ribosomal RNA". It matches the Rfam family "Bacterial small subunit ribosomal RNA", at positions 527 to 896 of the family's 1533-position model. The record is from RNAcentral.